Molecule: ribosomal RNA, 425 nt
Filed under: uncultured bacterium
Lineage: Bacteria
Description: bacterial SSU rRNA
Rfam family: Bacterial small subunit ribosomal RNA
Source: RNAcentral
GUGGGGAAUAUUGGACAAUGGGCGCAAGCCUGAUCCAGCCAUGCCGCGUGAGUGAUGAAGGCCUUAGGGUUGUAAAGCUCUUUCAGUGGGGACGAUAAUGACGGUACCCACAGAAGAAGCCCCGGCUAACUUCGUGCCAGCAGCCGCGGUAAUACGAAGGGGGCUAGCGUUGUUCGGAUUUACUGGGCGUAAAGCGCACGUAGGCGGAUCGUUAAGUCGGGGGUGAAAUCCUGGAGCUCAACUCCAGAACUGCCUUCGAUACUGGCGAUCUUGAGUCCGGAAGAGGUGAGUGGAACUCCUAGUGUAGAGGUGGAAUUCGUAGAUAUUAGGAAGAACACCAGUGGCGAAGGCGGCUCACUGGUCCGGUACUGACGCUGAGGUGUGAAAGCGUGGGGAGCAAACAGGAUUAGAUACCCUUGUAGUCC